This 213-nucleotide ribosomal RNA is filed under the name uncultured bacterium. Its description in RNAcentral is "partial 16S ribosomal RNA". It matches the Rfam family "Bacterial small subunit ribosomal RNA", at positions 117 to 331 of the family's 1533-position model. The record is from RNAcentral.
GUGAACAACGUGCCCUGAAGUCCGGGACAAACGCAGAAAUGCCAUAAAUACCGGAUGUGGCGAUCCUUCGGCAUCGAGGGAUCUUUAAAUGGUUUUUCGCUUCAGGAGCGGUUCACGGCCCAUCAGCUAGUUGGCGGGGUAAAAGCCCACCAAGGCGACGACGGGUAGGGGGUCUGAGAGGAUGAUCCCCCCGAGUGGGACUGAGACACGGCC